UGGGGAAUAUUGGGCAAUGGGGGCAACCCUGACCCAGCGACGCCGCGUGGGGGAAGACGGCCUUCGGGUUGUAAACCUCUUUUGUACGGGAAGAAGGAAGUGACGGUACUGUACGAAUAAGUCCCGGCUAACUACGUGCCAGCAGCCGCGGUAAUACGUAGGGGACGAGCGUCGUCCGGAAUUACUGGGCGUAAAGGGCGCGCAGGCUGUGCUGCAAGUCAGCUGUUAAAUGUCUGGGCUUAACCCGGGCAUGCGGUGGAGACUGCGGUGCUGGAGUGCGGUAGAGGCGAGUGGAAUUCCCGGUGUAGCGGUGAAAUGCGUAGAUAUUGAGAAGAACACCGGUGGCGAAGGCGACUUGCUGGGCAGCAACUGACGCUGAGGCGCGAAAGCGAGGGUAGCAAACGG
RNAcentral lists this ribosomal RNA (405 nucleotides) under uncultured bacterium. RNAcentral describes it as "bacterial SSU rRNA". It matches the Rfam family "Bacterial small subunit ribosomal RNA", at positions 355 to 775 of the family's 1533-position model. The record is from RNAcentral.